This 77-nucleotide transfer RNA is filed under the name Brachyspira sp. CAG:484. Its description in RNAcentral is "transfer RNA-Ile(GAT)". It matches the Rfam family "tRNA". From Rfam's summary of the family: Transfer RNA (tRNA) molecules are approximately 80 nucleotides in length. RNAcentral also lists the same sequence under 5 other names. The record is from RNAcentral. Lineage: Bacteria; Pseudomonadati; Spirochaetota; Spirochaetia; Brachyspirales; Brachyspiraceae.
GGGCUGCUAGCUCAGGUGGUUAGAGCGCACCCCUGAUAAGGGUGAGGUCGGUGGUUCGAGUCCACUGCGGCCCACCA